CGACGGUGAAGCCCCGCUUGCGGGGUGGAUCAGUGGCGAACGGGUGAGUAACACGUGAGCAACCUGCCCCUGACUCUGGGAUAAGCGCUGGAAACGGCGUCUAAUACUGGAUACGAGACGUGAUCGCAUGGUCAACGUUUGGAAAGAUUUUUCGGUUGGGGAUGGGCUCGCGGCCUAUCAGCUUGUUGGUGAGGUAAUGGCUCACCAAGGCGUCGACGGGUAGCCGGCCUGAGAGGGUGACCGGCCACACUGGGACUGAGACACGGCCCAGACUCCUACGGGAGGCAGCAGUGGGGAAUAUUGCACAAUGGGCGCAAGCCUGAUGCAGCAACGCCGCGUGAGGGAUGACGGCCUUCGGGUUGUAAACCUCUUUUAGCAGGGAAGAAGCGAGAGUGACGGUACCUGCAGAAAAAGCACCGGCUAACUACGUGCCAGCAGCCGCGGUAAUACGUAGGGUGCAAGCGUUAUCCGGAAUUAUUGGGCGUAAAGAGCUCGUAGGCGGUUUGUCGCGUCUGCUGUGAAAUCUGGGGGCUCAACCCCCAGCCUGCAGUG
RNAcentral lists this ribosomal RNA (552 nucleotides) under Microbacterium phyllosphaerae. Its description in RNAcentral is "bacterial SSU rRNA". It matches the Rfam family "Bacterial small subunit ribosomal RNA", at positions 64 to 628 of the family's 1533-position model. Lineage: Bacteria; Bacillati; Actinomycetota; Actinomycetes; Micrococcales; Microbacteriaceae. The record is from RNAcentral.